ACGGGUGAGUAAUACAUCGGAACGUGCCCGAUCGUGGGGGAUAACGGAGCGAAAGCUUUGCUAAUACCGCAUACGAUCUACGGAUGAAAGCAGGGGACCGCAAGCCUUGCGCGGACGGAGCGGCCGAUGGCAGAUUAGGUAGUUGGUGGGAUAAAAGCUUACCAAGCCGACGAUCUGUAGCUGGUCUGAGAGGACGACCAGCCACACUGGGACUGAGACACGGCCCAGACUCCUACGGGAGGCAGCAGUGGGGAAUUUUGGACAAUGGGCGCAAGCCUGAUCCAGCCAUGCCGCGUGCAGGAUGAAGGCCUUCGGGUUGUAAACUGCUUUUGUACGGAACGAAAAGACUCCUUCUAAUAAAGGGGGUCCAUGACGGUACCGUAAGAAUAAGCACCGGCUAACUACGUGCC
RNAcentral lists this ribosomal RNA (410 nucleotides) under uncultured bacterium. RNAcentral describes it as "bacterial SSU rRNA". It matches the Rfam family "Bacterial small subunit ribosomal RNA", at positions 102 to 509 of the family's 1533-position model. The record is from RNAcentral.